This 240-nucleotide unclassified non-coding RNA is filed under the name soil metagenome. RNAcentral describes it as "partial contains 5.8S ribosomal RNA, internal transcribed spacer 2, and large subunit ribosomal RNA". The record is from RNAcentral.
AACUGAUACUACCUGCGGGAACCUGCGGAAGGAUCAUUAUUGAAUAUGCUUGAUGGGUUGUAGCUGGCCUCUCGGGGCAUGUGCACGCCUGUCUUGACUUCAUUCAUCCACCUGUGCACCUAUUGUAGUUCUUUGCUUUGAAUCUUGUGGGGGGUCAGGAGAAGCGGCUGCUGUGUGCUAGCUGUGGAACCAAAGCCACCCGAGAGGAGAAGUCGGAGGGCUAUGUAUUUUUCAUAAACC